UACAGAGGUCUCGAGCGUUAGGCGGAAUCACUGGGCUUAAAGCGUGUGUAGGUGGAUCGUUAAGUACCUUGUGAAAUCCCACGGCUUAACCGUGGAACUGCUUGGUAUACUGGCGGUCUUGAGUCAGCUAGGGGCUACCGGAACAAAUGGUGGAGCGGUGAAAUGCGUAGAUAUCGGGAGGAACACCUGUGGCGAAAGCGGCUCUCUGGACCACAACUGACGCUGAGGCGCGAAAGCUAGGGGAGCAAACAGG
This 253-nucleotide ribosomal RNA is filed under the name uncultured bacterium. RNAcentral's name for it is "partial 16S ribosomal RNA". It matches the Rfam family "Bacterial small subunit ribosomal RNA", at positions 524 to 776 of the family's 1533-position model. The record is from RNAcentral.